UACAGAGGAGGCAAGCGUUGUUCGGAAUUACUGGGCGUAAAGGGCGCGUAGGCGGCCUGCUAAGUCGAACGUGAAAUCCCUGGGCUCAACCCAGGAACUGCGUCCGAUACUGGUUGGCUUGAAUCCGGGAGAGGGAUGCGGAAUUCCAGGUGUAGCGGUGAAAUGCGUAGAUAUCUGGAGGAACACCGGUGGCGAAGGCGGCAUCCUGGACCGGCAUUGACGCUGAGGCGCGAAAGCUAGGGGAGCAAACGGG
This 253-nucleotide ribosomal RNA is filed under the name uncultured bacterium. RNAcentral describes it as "partial 16S ribosomal RNA". It matches the Rfam family "Bacterial small subunit ribosomal RNA", at positions 524 to 776 of the family's 1533-position model. The record is from RNAcentral.